GAACGGUAGCACAGGGGAGCUUGCUCCCCGGGUGACGAGUGGCGGACGGGGAGUAAUGUCUGGGGAUCUGCCCGAUGGAGGGGGAUAACUACUGGAAACGGUAGCUAAUACCGCAUAACCUCGAAAGAGCAAAGUGGGGGACCUUCGGGCCUCACACCAUCGGAUGAACCCAGAUGGGAUUAGCUAGUAGGUGGGGUAACGGCUCACCUAGGCGACGAUCCCUAGCUGGUCUGAGAGGAUGACCAGCCACACUGGAACUGAGACACGGUCCAGACUCCUACGGGAGGCAGCAGUGGGGAAUAUUGCACAAUGGGCGCAAGCCUGAUGCAGCCAUGCCGCGUGUAUGAAGAAGGCCUUCGGGUUGUAAAGUACUUUCAGCGGGGAGGAAGGGAUGAAGGUUAAUAACCUUCGUCAUUGACGUUACCCGCAGAAGAAGCACCGGCUAACUCCGUGCCAGCAGCCGCGGUAAUACGGAGGGUGCAAGCGUUAAUCGGAAUUACUGGGCGUAAAGCGCACGCAGGCGGUUUGUUAAGUCAGAUGUGAAAUCCCCGGGCUCAACCUGGGAACUGCAUUUGAAACUGGCAAGCUUGAGUCUCGUAGAGGGGGGUAGAAUUCCAGGUG
This 621-nucleotide ribosomal RNA is filed under the name uncultured bacterium. RNAcentral's name for it is "bacterial SSU rRNA". It matches the Rfam family "Bacterial small subunit ribosomal RNA", at positions 64 to 675 of the family's 1533-position model. The record is from RNAcentral.